Dioscorea cayenensis subsp. rotundata (Guinea yam) is the source of this 1033-nucleotide long non-coding RNA. RefSeq lists it as uncharacterized. NCBI's taxonomy places the organism in Eukaryota, Viridiplantae, Streptophyta, Magnoliopsida, Dioscoreales, Dioscoreaceae. The record is from RefSeq and is a predicted model, not a curated record. The transcript has 2 exons.
UUUCUUGUUUUAUUUGAACAAGAAACCGCAAUCUUGAAUCCUUUCUGUCUCUCCCCGCCGGCGACGAAGUUCUAGUCGCCGGUGGAUCGCCGUCCGCCGGGAAUGGAACUCUCUGCAUCAUAGUUGAUGAUCUUUAGUUGGGCAUCUUCUUCCUUCUUUUAGGCUCUUUGAUUCAGAGAAAUAUUAUGGUAUGAUUUUGGUCACAAUUGUUACUAUUCUAGUUUCGUACCUCAAUGUCAUUAUUGAUGAUGGAUUAAGGUUAGGAAUACCGGCCAUCCAUGGUUAUUUGAUCAAGUUCUAGGUGCACUUGUAUUGAAAUAAAUUGAUAGAAAAAUAAAAUAUUUGAUACAUGAAUAGAGUGCUUCGCGCACGGAACUUAUUUGGUUUAUAGCAUAAGAUAUUUUCGUAAAUAGGACGUUGGGACCAUAUGACGUGUUAUUUUUCUUGAAUAUACAAGGAACAUUAAUAUAAUAUAAAUACUAACCGUAUCUCUAUUAUUGAAUAAUUAACAACUGAAAGUUUCUUGGAAUUUGCUUGGACUAGCAUCUAAUGCUCCAUUGCUAUCUACAAUCUUGAUUUGUUUUGUAGCCAGAAUUGCCAGUCCUGGCAAAAUGAAACUCUCAGCAAAAACAAAGGUAGUUUAGACUAAAACCCAGGACAGCAUUGAUGCAUUAUUAUACCAGCACCCAACUGUCUGAAUUGGUUGUUGUCCAUUACUUUAAAGUGCAUCCUUAAAUCUAAUUGUACUUUUUUUCUGGGCAUUCUGCUUUAGUUUGUAUCAAUGCCAGCUUAUCCCUAUGCUGUGUUCUGAUCAGGCUACCAUAAAGAAAUCCUCUCAGACCCCAUCCUUUUUGACUAAAUGACUGGUUGUGCUAAUUCACUCUUUAAUUAACCAAUCUUCAUCCUCCUACUGUAUGUACAAUUUGAUCUUGUUUUUAUGCUUUGACAUUUACUACUAAUUCUUUACCAACUUUCAUUUGUAACUUUAUCUAUUAGUGUUGAAAUCUUGACAUUCAUUUGUUGUUUUGUUUAA